GCAUACAUACUGACACACACAUACUGAGACAUACACACAUAUACAGACACACAGGUGUACAUAGUGAUAGACACAUACUAACAUACAUACAGACACACAUACUGAUACGCAUAUAGGCAUACAUACUGACACACACAUACUGAGACAUACACACAUAUACAGACACACAGGCGUACAUAGUGACAGACACAUACUAACAUACAUACAGACACA
Non-coding RNA from Pelobates cultripes (western spadefoot toad), 213 nucleotides. The record is from the annotation of a GenBank genome assembly. NCBI's taxonomy places the organism in Eukaryota, Metazoa, Chordata, Amphibia, Anura, Pelobatidae.